This 203-nucleotide ribosomal RNA is filed under the name Paenibacillus polymyxa. RNAcentral describes it as "partial 23S ribosomal RNA". It matches the Rfam family "Bacterial large subunit ribosomal RNA", at positions 2731 to 2925 of the family's 2925-position model. Lineage: Bacteria; Bacillati; Bacillota; Bacilli; Caryophanales; Paenibacillaceae. The record is from RNAcentral.
AGGAGCACCGCUGGGUAGCUAUGUACGGAAGGGAUAAGCGCUGAAAGCAUCUAAGCGUGAAGCCCCCCUCAAGAUGAGAUUUCCCAAUUAGUAAGACCCCUUGAAGACGACGAGGUAGAUAGGUUGGAGGUGGAAGUGCAGUAAUGCAUGGAGCUGACCAAUACUAAUCGGUCGAGGGCUUAUCCUAAGAUAAAACGCAAGGA